UACUCAUGCUAAUGGUGUCACGGAAGAAGCGAUGUAUCGACAGCUCAGGAUGGCUGCAGGGGACAUAUUCAGACGUGGCCCAGAUUGUCUGCCCAUGGGGACUGAGAUACCUCUGAGAU
Molecule: non-coding RNA, 119 nt
Organism: Rattus norvegicus (Norway rat)
Lineage: Eukaryota; Metazoa; Chordata; Mammalia; Rodentia; Muridae
Source: Rfam